UACGAAGGGGGCUAGCGUUGUUCGGAAUUACUGGGCGUAAAGGGCGCGCAGGCGGCCGCUCAAGUCAGGUGUGAAAGCCCCGGGCUCAACCUGGGAACUGCGGUUGAAACUGGCGAACUAGAAUCUGGCAGAGGGGGGUGGAAUUCCACGUGUAGCAGUGAAAUGCGUAGAGAUGUGGAGGAACACCGAUGGCGAAGGCAGCCCCCUGGGCUGAGAUUGACGCUCAGGCACGAAAGCGUGGGGAGCAAACAGG
This 253-nucleotide ribosomal RNA is filed under the name uncultured bacterium. Its description in RNAcentral is "partial 16S ribosomal RNA". It matches the Rfam family "Bacterial small subunit ribosomal RNA", at positions 524 to 776 of the family's 1533-position model. The record is from RNAcentral.